RNAcentral lists this ribosomal RNA (1484 nucleotides) under Vorticella sp. RNAcentral's name for it is "SSU rRNA". It matches the Rfam family "Eukaryotic small subunit ribosomal RNA", at positions 1 to 1561 of the family's 1831-position model. The record is from RNAcentral. Lineage: Eukaryota; Ciliophora; Oligohymenophorea; Sessilida; Vorticellidae.
AAUCUGGUUGAUCCUGCCAGUAGUCAUAUGCUUGUCUCAAAGAUUAAGCCAUGCAUGUGUAAGUAUAAGUAUUAUACGGCGAAACUGCGAAUGGCUCAUUAAAACAGUUAUGAUUUAUUUGAUAAUCGAAAGUUACAUGGAUAACCGUGACAAAUUACAGCUAAUACAUGCAUUCAGACCUGGUCCAAGGGUCGUAAUUAUUAGUAUUAAACCAUUUCCGAAAGGAGUGUGAUGAAUCAUAAUAAUCGAACGAAUCGCCUGGUGUGCGAUAAAUCAUUCAAGUUUCUGCCCUAUCAGCUUUGGAUGGUAGUGUAUUGGACUACCAUGGCAGUCACGGGUAACGGAGAAUUAGGGUUCGAUUCCGGAGAGGGAGCCUGAGAAACGGCUACCACAUCUACGGAAGGCAGCAGGAGCGAAAAUUGCCCAAUCCCGACACGGGGAGGCAGUGACAAGAAAUAACAACUCUAGGUUAUUCUUAGAAGUGUAAUGAGGAUAAUUUACAACCCUUACCGAAAGCAAUUGGAGGGCAAGUCUGGUGCCAGCAGCCGCGGUAAUUCCAGCUCCAAUAGCGUAUAUUAAAGUUGUUGCAGUUAAAAAGCUCGUAGUUGAAAUUCUGAUUGUUCGGGUUUUUAGCCUUUAGGCGGAAAUACCGACAGUCAUCCGCUUGCAAACAUACGUUUGACCUUAACCAGUUGACUAUGUGAGUAAGCAUUUUACCUUGAGAAAAACAGAGUGUUCCAGGCAGGUUUGUCCGGAAUGCAUUAGCAUGGAAUAAUAGAACAUGACUGAAGUCUAUUUAUUGGUUAAAGGCUUUAGUAAUGAUUAAUAGGAACAGUCGGGGGCAUUCGUACUCAGCAGUCAGAGGUGAAAUUCUAAGAUUUGCUGAAGACGAACUAAUGCGAAAGCAUUUGCCAAGGAUGUUUUCAUUAAUCAAGAACGAAAGUUAGGGGAUCAAAGACGAUCAGAUACCGUCCUAGUCUUAACUAUAAACGAUACCGACUCGGAUUCAGAUGAAUCAAAAUGUUCAUUUGGGACCGUAGGAGAAAUCAAAGUCUUUGGGUUCUGGGGGGAGUAUGGUCGCAAGGCUGAAACUUAAAGGAAUUGACGGUUUUGCACCACCAUGGAGUGGAGUUUGCGGCUUAAUUUGACAACACUGGGAAACUCAUCAGGGCAAGAAGAUUUUAGGAUUGACAGAUUGAGAGUUCUUUCUUGAUUGGUCUAGUGGUGGUGCAUGGCCGUUCUUAGUUGGUGGAGUGAUUUGUCUGGUUAAUUCCGUUAACGAACGAGACCUUAACCUGCUAACUAGUGUUCCGAUCUCAAAUCGGAAGCACUUCUUAGAGGGACUAUGUGAUGUAAUCACAUGGAAGUUUGAGGCAAUAACAGGUCUGUGAUGCCCUUAGAUGUCCUGAGCUGCACGCGUACUACAAUGGCACUUUCAACGAGUUUUUCCUGAUCCGAAAGGAUUUGGGUAAUCUUUUUAGUGA